GGAGUUAGCCGGUGCUUCUUCUGUGAGUGAUGUCCUUCCUGCCGGCUAUUAACCCGCAGGCCUUCUUCCUCACUGAAAGUGCUUUACAACCCGAAGGCCUUCUUCACACACGCGGCAUGGCUGGAUCAGGGUUGCCCCCAUUGUCCAAUAUUCCCCACUGCUGCCUCCCGUAGGAGUCUGGGCCGUGUCUCAGUCCCAGUGUGGCUGAUCAUCCUCUCAGACCAGCUACGGAUCGUCGCCUUGGUGAGCCGUUACCUCACCAACCAGCUAAUCCGACAUAGGCUCAUCCGAUAGCGCGAGGCCCGAAGGUCCCCCGCUUUCCCCCGUAGGGCGUAUGCGGUAUUAGCCUGGGUUUCCCCAGGUUAUCCCCCACUACCGGGGCAGAUUCCUAUGCAUUACUCACCCGUCCGCCGCUCGCCACCAGGGAGCAAGCUCCCCGUGCUGCCGCUCGACUUGCAUGUGUUAGGCCUGCCGCCAGCGUUCAAUCUGAGCCAUGAUCAAACUCUGA
RNAcentral lists this ribosomal RNA (508 nucleotides) under uncultured bacterium. Its description in RNAcentral is "partial 16S ribosomal RNA". The record is from RNAcentral.